CCUACGGGGGGCUGCAGUGGGGAAUAUUGGACAAUGGGGGGAACCCUGAUCCAGCCAUGCCGCGUGUGUGAAGAAGGCCCUCGGGUGGUAAAGCACUUUCAGUGAGGAAGAACGCCUGGUGGUUAAUACCCAUCAGGAAAGACAUCACUCACAGAAGAAGCACCGGCUAACUCCGUGCCAGCAGCCGCGGUAAUACGGAGGGUGCGAGCGUUAAUCGGAAUUACUGGGCGUAAAGCGCGCGUAGGUGGCUUGAUAAGCCGGUUGUGAAAGCCCCGGGCUCAACCUGGGAACGGCAUCCGGAACUGUCAAGCUAGAGUGCAGGAGAGGAAGGUAGAAUUCCCGGUGUAGCGGUGAAAUGCGUAGAGAUCGGGAGGAAUACCAGUGGCGAAGGCGGCCUUCUGGACUGAAACUGACACUGAGGUGCGAAAGCGUGGGUAGCAAACAGGAUUAGAUACCCUUGUAGUC
RNAcentral lists this ribosomal RNA (465 nucleotides) under Vreelandella stevensii. RNAcentral describes it as "partial 16S ribosomal RNA". It matches the Rfam family "Bacterial small subunit ribosomal RNA", at positions 338 to 795 of the family's 1533-position model. Lineage: Bacteria; Pseudomonadati; Pseudomonadota; Gammaproteobacteria; Oceanospirillales; Halomonadaceae. The record is from RNAcentral.